UCUAUUCUCUCUGUGAUUUUACUGCAUGGACCAUUUUGUUCAUUUGCCAUAAUAUAAAAUCUCUCAACGACCGAAUGAGAGUUCAGUACGAGGUUGACUGAGCGAGAUGGAGGACGUUACAUAUUUUAUGUACAUUUCUACAUCCUCCACCAAAAAGUUUUAGCAAAAAGGAACUCGAAGAGUGUGACAUUUCGGUGAUCAGUAGACAUUUGUAGUUAUAAAGUAUUUCGCUAAAGAAGUAGAAGAAAGACAUCAAGAAUUACACAACAAGUGUGCUUUCCGGCAUGAUGGCGGAAAAGACCACGUGCUAUUCUCCUCGACAUCACACUUUUCAACUGGAGACUGAUUACGACGCCUACGACAUAUUUGCAAAUGUCCGAGAAGGUAUCAUCAAAGUCUUGUCCAUGCCAGGAUCAUCAUCGUCCCAUCGUUUUAAACAGCCUGAUCCUACAACCUGCGAUGAAGCGAACUGACUGACGGAUUUGGCCAGCAAAAAUAAAUGCAUCCCUUCAUAUGCAAAUGCAAGUCUGAAUAUAUAUACACAUCACCUGACCGUUAUGAUGAGAUGAAGGGAACGUUCGUGACCCGAUUGAGAUGGAAGGUGACACUGUAUCGGAUCGUUUCAUCGAGUUUGGCGAAUAUCAAGGAGCCUUGUUUGGAACAGGGAGUAUUAGCAAUUAAAGAUAUAGUAUAAUUAAGAACUGUUAAGCAGCUUAGUAAUUAUGGAAAUUCUUAUGAAUUAUGUUUGGUUUCUUUCUUUCUUUCUUUAUACAUAAGUGGUUAAUUUUGACACGAUGAUAUUAUUUUGAAGGGUGGACAGAAUAGGAAUAACUUAGCAAAAGUUGUUUUUAGGGAGAAUUUUUUAAAGCUACAAGUUAAUGUGCACCAUAACGCUGAAGACCUUGGUAUCAUUAAGGUCAUUCAUUUUAUACGUAAUUUGAGUGACAAGUCUGGGUUGAUAGAUAACUCAAAAUAGAAAUGGUUACCAACAAAGUACAAAUGAGACGAACAAUUUUAAUAAUCUUUAAAACACUCAAUUUGCAUACGCUGAUCAUAUGUACGGACUUGGGAUUGAGAUUUUUAUUAAUUAAUCUAUCAAAAAUGAUGGAACGCUGACAAAAUUCUUAAAAUGUUGAAUUUCAGAGACAAAAUUUCCGUAACUAAUAGAGACUUGCAUGCAAUUUUUUCCCAUUGAAAAACUUUUACAUUGGAGUCUUACAUUAAACCACUCUAUAUACAUAUAUGUAUAUAUGAUAUAUGUAUAAGUUCGGUAACAAGAGAGAGUAACAAUUUGAAUGUAUCAAAUUUAUUACUCAAAAUUUAUAAUACAGACCUAAGUAAUUUCGCAAACAGGUUUUGUUAGAGUCUUCUGAACUGGUCUUGAUUUGAUGAGGGAGGCACGCACUACGCAAGAGAUAGGGGUAACAAUUGUAUUGUAUUAAUUCACUACUCGAAAAACUAUACAUAUAAUCGUAGAAUUAGGUUUAGUAUGAAUUUUCGGGAGAGAUAUAGAUCGAUUUACGCCACCAAUUACAAUUGAAGUAUUUUACUAAGCUUCGUAACGUAGGAUUAAGUUAUUAUAAUUCUAAUUAAAGCCAGGAAAGAAACAAAAAUUUACUAUACAAAUUUUCCUUACAAAUCGCAACGAUCUUAUAGUCUCGCUGGGUCAGUGCGUUCCGAAAUAGUAUUGACUGUUCUGUCGUGGGUAGCAAAGCUAUGGUACAUUAGCUAGGCUACUAUGGUAAUAAAAUGCUCUACAAAUUUCUGUUCAGGUUGAAUUAGAGUCUUCUGAACUGGUCUUGAUUUGAUGAAGGAGACAUGCAGCAAGAAAUAGGGGGCUACAAUUUUGUUGUACUAAUUGAUUGCUCAAGAAAACUAUGCAUAUAAAUUAACGGGUAGGUUUAGUAUCAACUUUGGGGAGAGAUCAAAUGAUCGACUUGCGCAAGCAUUUCGGGCUUGGUGGGCGUAGUAUUUUACCAAACUUCACAAUCUACGAAUUAGUUAUAAUGCUCUAGGAUGCUUUGUCGCCUGCCGUGUUGGACACUACCCAGUGUGAACACCUGGCGGGAUAAUACUACUUGGAAACAUUAAGUGUACAGUAUAGUUUGGCUUAGUACAUUUACAAGAUCCCAUAGUCCGCACAAAGGAAACACUUUUUGCGCUUAUAUAGUUUAACCAUUUACGAGAUCCCACAGUCCGCACAAAGAAAACACUUUUAGUAAUGCAAUUCUUAAAUGUACCUAGAAUUGCAUAAUUGUCCUGAUGCAUAAAAAGUAUGAAAUUUAGAGAAUAGAAAUUUUUUAAAGAUAUUCAGGCUCCAUAAGAGCACACACAACACCAUUAAGAAUUCGCUGGGUUAAACGACUAAGAAAAAGAGAGAUAAUGCAAUUUUUAAAUGUAUCUAAAAAUUGUAUAAUUGUAAUAAUGCAGAAAGAUUAUUAAAUUAGGGGAAUAUAAAAAUAGGCUCCAUAAGAGCACACACAACACCAUGAAAAAUUCGCUGGGUUAACAAGCCCUGAAAUGUUGUUCUGCUGAAAUGUAAUUAGCAGAUGCAACAAUAUUUGUAAACGGAAAGAUAGGUUGCACAUGAGCACACACAACACCAUGAAAAAUUCAAUGGGUUAAAAAGAGUCUAUGUGUAAUGCAAUUUUAACGCACCUAAAAUUUGCAUUACAUUACUAGUUCCACAUGAAAACAAACUUUAAUUAUGAUUUUACGAAUGAUGGUACAUAACGUAUAUAUCCAGUGGGUUUGUAAAUUGCUUUAACGUAUUAGGCAGAUAUGAUUAUAAACCAAAUGCCAGUCCAGAGAUUGAUUGCUUUUUUGAAUAUUUUGUAAAUUGUGGAAUUUAAAUCCUACCAAUAAUUUGCCUGAAUUUAUUAUAAUGCAAAUUUAAAAUAUGAUUGGUAAGCAGUAAGUUCAAACUUACUACUAAAAAUUAAGAAAACACAAACGUGAAACAUGGCUUGGAUAGUGUAUUCUGAACUGAAAUUGAUUGCUCAGGGCUCAGGGCGUAGAAAAGUUACGGUAAACUUGACUACAUCUUACUUUAAAAAAAACUCACGAUUAGGUUUAGUUAGAGUUUUCUGAACUGGUCUUGAUUUGAUGAGGGAGGAAAGUAGCGAGAAAUAGGGUUAUCUGCAUAGUAUAUUUAUUGAGGAGUUUUCCUUAUAUUUAUUCUGUAAAUUUGUCUUGUAUGUACUUGAACAAGCCUUCAUUUAGAGUGUUUUUUGUUGAUAACAUUUUCAAAACUUGUUUGAAAGUUGGCGUCAACAUAUUUUUUUAGACCAUUAUUAUAUUUAGGGAUGUUUUAGCUUUUUAUGUGCACAUUUUGAACUACAUCUAUUUGGGUGUAAUUUUCUGAAUCAAAUAAUUGUACAACAGCGUUGCGUUUAUCAAUACUUGAAAUUUAUUUAUUGCAUUUGUAAAUUUUAAGGUCACAAUUUAUUGUCUAAAUGCAUUUUAAAUAAUGAUUGAAUAGUUACAUACGACAUAUAUGUAUACAAAUUUAUAUUUACAUAUGUUAUCAUAGUACAUUAUUGUUAUACAGAAUAGUUGUCUUUGUAAUUAGAAUUUAAGCGAUGGUCUAUUUUAUAAUGUUAUGAAAUGAAAUGUAUACGAAAAUAGUAAUAAAACUUUAAUAUAAUAAAUAA
Folsomia candida is the source of this 3653-nucleotide long non-coding RNA. RefSeq lists it as uncharacterized. Lineage: Eukaryota; Metazoa; Arthropoda; Collembola; Entomobryomorpha; Isotomidae. The transcript has 5 exons. The record is from RefSeq and is a predicted model, not a curated record.